GGGGAAUAUUGCACAAUGGGCGCAAGCCUGAUGCAGCGCACGUCGCGUGGAGGAUGAAGGGYUUCGGCUCGUAAACUCCUGUUAAGAGGGAAGAAAGACUGUAGGUUAAUAUCCUGCGGGGAUGACGGUACCUCUAGAGAAAGCACCGGUCAACUUG
Molecule: ribosomal RNA, 157 nt
Filed under: uncultured marine bacterium
Lineage: Bacteria
Description: partial small subunit ribosomal RNA
Rfam family: Bacterial small subunit ribosomal RNA
Source: RNAcentral